AUGCUUAUAAUGGAGCAUGAUCAUGAAUAGUUUGUAUUUUGGUCUUUGGUGCAACUCAUUUGCUAUAAAAAGAGAUGUAUUGUAACAUAAAAAUUCAGAGGCAAUUGAAAUAAAACCACCAGUGUGCUUAAAUAUAAACAUGUUUUUAUAAAUUUUCUCUUCUUUCUGAAAGCUCUAAUUAUUACGUUCAUAUCAUAAAUUCCCCAUAAGAGAUGCAAGUAUGUUCUACACUCGUCUCAAAAAUGAAGAUCGUGUGUAUCAGAAAACAUCUGACUGUUUAUCCUUGCUACGAUAACAGUUUCUAUCAAUUAUUGUCAAAGAAAGGUGUACAAUUUAGGCAGAUUUAAUGGUUUCAACGAGAGGAAUGGAAUCUCGAAUGGAAAUACUGGAGCGUGGGUUUGAUGGGUUAUUAAGUAUGUGGAAGUCUUGAACAAGAAAGGCUGGAAUGGUUGGAAGUUGGAACUUAAAGGAAAAUGUAUGAGAUCAUGGAAAUGAUGUGAUGAUUGACAAUACGUGCCAAUCCAGAAGAAAGUUUCGGAGAAGAAAGUUUCAGGGAAGAAAGUCAUGCAGGGAAUGACCAAGUGAGAAACCAAGACUGCAAAACAGAAAAAAUGGCGGUAAUUGGAAAUUUCAAUUUUUUAUGGUGAAGAGGCAUAUGGGUGGAUGAACUGUGUAGGGAGAUAGUUUGAUUUGAAGUGGAUGACUGAGUCAGAUAAGUUACUAGCAGUUAUUGUGGCAAUCGAGGGCAAGGCAUUGACAUGGUAUUAAUGGUGGGAAUUUUCUGUACAAAAUCCCACUUGGGAUGAUUUCCGGUCUGCUGUGAUUUGGCCCUUACAACCAUCCAUGAUUAAAAGCCCUUUUGAUUGUUAUCGAGUCUUAGACGAACUGGGUGGGUAGAAGAAUGCAGAGAAAAUGUGACUUAUACGUGGGUUUGUUUGAAUGAAGUAAUCAAGGCAGAAUUGAAACUUUAUCGAGUGGAUGGCUUGUUUGAAUUGAUAGAUUAUGGCCAAAGGGUGGAUGCGAAGAAUAAUUUGAAAAACAAGGGAAGCAUUUUUACAGGUUUUAGUGGAAAACCAACCUAGACUUACAACAACCCUAGAAAAGAAAGGAGUGCUUAGGAGAUUAACUGAUGUUGAGAUCCAAGAGAGAUCCAGAAAGGGCCUUUGAUUUAGAUGUGAUGAGAAAUUCAUCACAGGCCAUGUAUGUGCAAACAAACUAUAACUACAAUUGAUGGAGGAAGAAGUUGAAGAUGGAGAGAAAGAGAAGGAACCGUAUACACACGAGGAAGGAGAGAUGAAAAAUUUACAGUUAUCCAUGUGUAGCAUCACUUGCAUUACCUCUGAGAAAUCCAUCAAAUUAUGGGGAAAUUUAGAGGGAAAACAAAUGAUAAUCCUUAGAUUGGGGUGCCUCACAUAGUUUCAUCAUAUCUUCCGCAUUGGGCAAAAAUCACCAAUUACAGGUAUCUGAAACUUCACCAAUACAGUGAAGGUGGGGAUGGAAAGAAGUUUUCUUGUGGAGCGGUGUGUCCUCAAUUAAAGUUAAAUUUACAAGGCUAGGAGAUCCAACAAGAUUUUUUUUUAUCUUUGAUCUAGGAGGAGUUGAUACAGUGUUAGGCAUGGAAUGGUUGGCUAGUCUUAGUGAAACUAGAGUCAAUUUCAAGGAGUUGACACUAAUGCUUCCAAUUGAUGGAAAGCGUCAUAUUUUGAAAGAAGAACCUGGUGUAACUCGCACGGCAGCAUCACUCAAAGCUAUUCUCAACACAAUAAAUGAUCAAGGACAAGGAUUUUUACUUCAAUGUCAAAGUUUGUAGGCUGAAACCAAAUGCAGUGCAAUUGGGCCUGAGUGCGUAGAAGUGAUAUUGGAUGAAUAUAUAGAGGUCUUCCAAGAACCUCGAGGAUUACCUCCACCUAGAAGACAGGAUCAUGCAAUUGUUCUUAAAUAUAGAGCUAACAAUUCAAAUAUCAGGCCUUACAAAUAUCCACAUUACCACAAAAAUAGAUCCAAAGGUUUGUUGAUGAUAUGUUUAAUUCAGGUAUGACUCUAACAAGUGAGUCCUUAUGGAGGAUGGCGAUUUUGUGUAGAUUAUUGAGCUUUGAAUAAAAUUGUCGGACCAUACAAAUUUCCCAUUCUUAUUAUAAUGAAUUGCUUGAUGAACUUGGAGGAGCAAUGAUUUUCUCUUAGUUGGAUCUUAGGUAUGGGUAUCACCAAAUCAGGAUGAAGGAGGAAGAUAUUCUUAAAAUUGCUUUUAGAACUCGCGAAGGGCAUAUGCUUUCAUUGUUUCCUUUAUCUUUCUAUUCUCUUUUUGUCAAGAUUGUGUCAAGAUUGUGAAUGUGUGUGUCUGUAUAUUGUACUACAACUACCUCUGAUUUGAGAAUCAUUCUCCAAACUAAAGUAAUAAAUUUUGAGUUUACUCGUUAAUUUC
Molecule: long non-coding RNA, 2422 nt
Organism: Cicer arietinum (chickpea)
Lineage: Eukaryota; Viridiplantae; Streptophyta; Magnoliopsida; Fabales; Fabaceae
Source: RefSeq, a predicted model, not a curated record